Molecule: transfer RNA, 105 nt
Filed under: Friedmanniomyces endolithicus
Lineage: Eukaryota; Fungi; Ascomycota; Dothideomycetes; Mycosphaerellales; Teratosphaeriaceae
Description: tRNA-Val
Source: RNAcentral
UCUGGGAUGGUGUAGUUGGUUAUCACGUCUGUCUAACAUGCGGAGGCUUCGCCGACACCCUUUAUGUGCACAGAAGGUCCCGAGUUCAAGUCUCGGUCCUAGUAA